CAUAAGGUGACUGAAAGCAAGUACUGGUCUCUUAAACCAUUUAAUAGUAAAUUAGCGGUUACUUCUUAUGA
This 71-nucleotide transfer RNA is filed under the name Drosophila antonietae. Its description in RNAcentral is "tRNA-Lys". Lineage: Eukaryota; Metazoa; Arthropoda; Insecta; Diptera; Drosophilidae. The record is from RNAcentral.